CAGCAGCCGCGGUAAUACGUAGGGUGCGAGCGUUAAUCGGAUUUACUGGGCGUAAAGCGUGCGCAGGCGGCCCGUUAAGACAGGUGUGAAAUCCCUGGGCUCAACCUAGGAAUUGCGCUUGUGACUGGCGGGCUCGAGUACGGUAGAGGGGGGUGGAAUUCCUGGCGUAGCAGUGAAAUGCGUAGAGAUCAGGAGGAACACCGAUGGCGAACGCAGCCCCCUGGGCCUGUACUGACGCUCAUGCACGAAAGCGUGGGGAGCAAACAGGAGUAGAUACCCGGGUAGUCCACGCCCUAAACGAUGGGUACUAGCCGGUUGGUGCGCGAUAGCGCUGAGUGGCGAAGCUAACGCGUGAAGUACCCCGCCUGGGGAGUACGGCCGCAAGGUUGAAACUUAAAGGAAUUGGCGGG
This 410-nucleotide ribosomal RNA is filed under the name uncultured microorganism. RNAcentral describes it as "bacterial SSU rRNA". It matches the Rfam family "Bacterial small subunit ribosomal RNA", at positions 509 to 917 of the family's 1533-position model. The record is from RNAcentral.